RNAcentral lists this RNase P RNA (332 nucleotides) under Burkholderiaceae bacterium. RNAcentral's name for it is "RNase P RNA component class A". It matches the Rfam family "Bacterial RNase P class A". Rfam says of the family: Ribonuclease P (RNase P) is a ubiquitous endoribonuclease, found in archaea, bacteria and eukarya as well as chloroplasts and mitochondria. Its best characterised activity is the generation of mature 5'-ends of tRNAs by cleaving the 5'-leader elements of precursor-tRNAs. Lineage: Bacteria; Pseudomonadati; Pseudomonadota; Betaproteobacteria; Burkholderiales; Burkholderiaceae. The record is from RNAcentral.
GAAGCCCACCGGACCGCCGCUGGUGCAAUCGUGGAAACACGGCACUGGAGGAACGUCCGGACUGCACAGGGCAGCGUAGCAGCUAACGGCUGUCCACCGUGAGGUGAGGAUCAGAGCAACAGAGACGAGUCACCGGCGCGCUUCGGCGCGCUGGUGGGUGAAACGGGCAAUCUCUACGCGCAGCAAUACCAAGUAGGCACACGUUGACGGGGCCCCCGGAGUGUGCGGGUAGGUAGCAUCGAGCCGUCUGGUGACAGGCGGCCCAGAGUAAUGGCGGUCACGCCGGGGGAAACCCCGGCGCACAGAAUCCGGCUUACAGGUGGGCUUCACAC